Paramuricea clavata is the source of this 76-nucleotide non-coding RNA. The record is from the annotation of a GenBank genome assembly. Lineage: Eukaryota; Metazoa; Cnidaria; Anthozoa; Malacalcyonacea; Plexauridae.
GACCUUGUAUAGCUUAGAAGGUAGAGCGUCGUUCUAGAAAUGCGAAGGUCGCUGGUUCAAUUCCCAGCCGUGGUCA